This is a long non-coding RNA of Bufo bufo (common toad), 136 nucleotides long. RefSeq lists it as uncharacterized. Lineage: Eukaryota; Metazoa; Chordata; Amphibia; Anura; Bufonidae. The record is from RefSeq and is a predicted model, not a curated record. The transcript has 3 exons.
GUAAAUGUCCUGAUAACUUCCUGGUUUGGCUCAGGCAGUUGAGUGAAGGCCGGCCACGCCUCCUCAUGACUCACCCUGAGAGCUCAGUCCUUGCCUGCUCGUUCAUGUGGAUGAGUCAUCAACAUGGAGCCGUCUG